CCUACGGGAGGCAGCAGUGAGGAAUUUUCCGCAAUGGGCGAAAGCCUGACGGAGCAAUACCGCGUGAGGGAUGAAGGAUUUUGGUCUGUAAACCUCUUUUCUCAAGAAAGAAGUUCUGACGGUACUUGAGGAAUAAGCAUCGGCUAACUCCGUGCCAGCAGCCGCGGUAAUACGGGGGAUGCAAGCGUUAUCCGGAAUGAUUGGGCGUAAAGCGCCUGUAGGUUGUUUAUUAAGUCCGUUGUUAAAGCCUAGGGCUUAACCCUAGAAAAGCAAUGGAAACUAGUAGACUAGAGUAUGGCAGGGGUAGAGGGAAUUUCUAGUGUAGCGGUGAAAUGCGUAGAUAUUAGAAAGAACACCGGUGGCGAAAGCGCUCUACUGGACCAUUACUGACACUCAGAGGCGAAAGCUAGGGUAGCAAAAGGGAUUAGAUACCCCUGUAGUCCUAGCCGUAAACGAUGGAUACUAGAUGUUGUGCAUUAUGUACAGUAUCGUAGCUAACGCGUUAAGUAUCCCGCCUGGGGAGUACGCUCGCAAGGGUGAAACUCAAAGGAAUUGACGG
This 559-nucleotide ribosomal RNA is filed under the name uncultured bacterium. RNAcentral's name for it is "bacterial SSU rRNA". It matches the Rfam family "Bacterial small subunit ribosomal RNA", at positions 338 to 916 of the family's 1533-position model. The record is from RNAcentral.